UUUUUUUUUUUUUUGAAAAUGGCAUCUCUGUUUGUUACACCACCGUAAAUGCGUCAUUUUAAAUUUUUUAAUCUUAAUUAAACAUACAAAAUAGCUUAAUUAAUUAAAUUAAUAAUAUUAGUUUAAAUUCAAAAUCUUUAAGUUUACAUCCAAAAAUCUAGAUUUUUAUGCUCAUCUUCUACAACCAUAAAUCCCUACAAUCACUCUAUAUUCUUCAACCUCACUCCUUACCCCAUCAUCACCUUUUUCCUUCGUCACCCACCCACACCAACAACCAACCAUUUCUUUCUCAACAACAACUACAAACCCAUAAAAACAACUCAAAAUUAGCACAAAAUUAGAAAACCCCAAAAUUCCAAGAUCCGGAAAUUGAACCAAAUUAAAACCCAAUAUCUGGAAAUAAAGAAGGUCCGCGCGAUGAUGAUGUUGAGAAUCAAUUUUUGAGAGAUUUAUCUCCGAUUUAUAAAUAGAAGACAUUGAAGUCGUAGAU
RNAcentral lists this long non-coding RNA (490 nucleotides) under Trifolium pratense (red clover). RNAcentral's name for it is "long non-coding RNA (TPRA_LNC004877)". The record is from RNAcentral. Lineage: Eukaryota; Viridiplantae; Streptophyta; Magnoliopsida; Fabales; Fabaceae.